This 758-nucleotide long non-coding RNA is filed under the name Rattus norvegicus (Norway rat). RNAcentral's name for it is "long non-coding RNA NONRATT026668". The record is from RNAcentral. Lineage: Eukaryota; Metazoa; Chordata; Mammalia; Rodentia; Muridae.
GCAAGUGAACGCGGCCGGGCCUCGCCGCGGAGGGUGCGGGGUGCAGAGCCUUGAGUCCCUUGUGGCCGCCGCCUUGGCCGUGGGCCUGGCCGGGCUCGGCGUCCCUGGGGAAGAAGCUGUGACCUCCUCAAGGGCGCAAAGCCCGGCAUGUCUCGCGGGGCUCCUUUGACAUUGCCCGGCGCCGGGUCUCUCUCACCUCCACCCUCUGUCUCCCCCGCAGGAGGAUGUUCUCGUCCGUAGCGCACCUGGCGCGGGCGAACCCCUUCAACGCGCCACAUCUGCAGCUGGUGCACGAUGUGUCGGGUCCCCGCAGCCCCCCAGGUCCGCCCCGGCGUUCCCGCCACCUGGCUGCCGCCGCCGUGGAAGGUGAGGUCACACCCUGCCCUGUGCGAGCACUGGUUUCGUGCUGUUCCCCGCUCUGCCUACGAGACCUGGGCCGGAUAGGGAGGUCGAGGAAGGACGCUCCAGCCCUGGACCUGAGAACCGGUCUCUAGCUGACCCUGGGAUGUCAGCUCUGACGCCCUAGGCCGCUGUCGGAUCCUUGGCCCUCCCUCAAGGGCGUGGAAGGGCCCAGGCCCAGCGCCACUCAGUGACCUCCGUGUCCCCAAGGGAGUAGAGGCAGAGAGGUGGUAACCAACUUCUUUAUCUAACCCCCAACCCAUGAGCCCGCUUGGUCAGCCAAGUCUACUGGGUAAAGUGUCCUUUUUAAUCACUAGUUUGUCACAGUUGCAACUCCAUAAAGUCUUAUUUGAUUUGCC